AUUCAGGAUGCUUAGGACUCUUUUCUGGUGCAAGGUCCCACCCCAACCCCUUUGCACGUAGUACCCCCUCUUUGCUCACGUCCUGCUCCUCUUAAAUUUAUUCAUAAUCUUGUGAUGCUCAACCUGCAUUGGAAUCCACAGAACACCUCCCAAACCUAGAAGGAUCGCACUGUGAGUGAGGGACCGGUCUUAGGGGAAAGAGACCUCAGCAGACCAUCCCGAGUCUACCUUACCCACCUCCUCCAGGUCACGUGAGCAAUGUGGAGGUGCAAGAACACAUUUCUCUGAGGCUGGCAGGUUGAGUUUCUUGUGGGCCAGGAGUUCAGCUGAAUACCUCCUGGUCUCCGCAGGAGUUCCUGGAACUGCAGGAGAAGUAUGGAGAGAUUGAAGUGAUGAAUGUGUGCGACACUUAGGAGACCACCUCAUGGGCAAUGUCUGUGUCAAGGUGCCUGUUUCCCCCGCAUUAGAGCCCAGAGGUGGAGGCACUUCAAUGCCUAAAGGCCACCACUGAAGCCCCAUAACUUGAGGUCCAUCACUAAAUCCAGUCCAGCCCCAGCACUGCUAACUAAUCCCCUGAAUAUUUCAGAGUUUGCUGACCCUGAUUGGCUUUCCAGUCAGUUUGGGUGUGAAGAGGAUGUCAAGCAGACAGCUGAAUUCAGUAACUGUUCGUUCAAUGGGCAGGCUGUGCAUACUGAGCUGUCUCCUGUCACUGACUUCUGGGAGUCAUGUUGUUGGCAGUAGGAGAUGGGAGAAAGCACCGUUGGUGGCUUCUGCAACUUCAUUCACCUGCAACCCACCUCCCGGAACCUCAGCGGGCAGCUCUAUGGGCAGGAACCCAGGGGCAGGUCACCCCUGAGGUCUCAUACCCACCACCAUCCCCAAGAAAGAAACCAGUGAUGUUUCCCAGGUGACUAGCAUGGCCGCUUCUGAGAUCCUGGCCCUCUUGUCCUCCACACCUGACAGGCACAGACGUUCCUGGCCAGAACCUCUCCUCAAAGCUCCCUCAAGUUCCCAAGGUCAUC
This is a long non-coding RNA of Phyllostomus hastatus (greater spear-nosed bat), 1022 nucleotides long. RefSeq lists it as uncharacterized. The transcript is spliced from 3 exons. The record is from RefSeq and is a predicted model, not a curated record. Lineage: Eukaryota; Metazoa; Chordata; Mammalia; Chiroptera; Phyllostomidae.